Molecule: transfer RNA, 69 nt
Filed under: Cordylochernes scorpioides
Lineage: Eukaryota; Metazoa; Arthropoda; Arachnida; Pseudoscorpiones; Chernetidae
Description: tRNA-Gly
Source: RNAcentral
UGCAUCGGCCAGGAAUCGAACCCGGGACGCCUGGGUGGCAGGCGAACAUUCUACCACUGAACCAAAAGC